UCCUCAAGGUGGAUGCCUUAAACACGAAGUUCUCAACCCUAAAUUCCACUAAACAUCAGUAUAUUUUAAAAUGAAAAAGUACCAUCGGCUUAUCACAAUUUUUUUCGGUAACUGUUUGCAGCCCCAUAAAAUCUAGAUCUGGUUUGGUAUGGAUCCAAUAGAAGUCUUUGCUGAAUGUGAUCUUUCUCAGAAUCCGUAUAGAUGACAUCGGCUUGCUUUUUCUGGAAAUGGUCCUGCACAAGUCAUGCUAGUUUCCAUUCAGCAGGAGCAUUCACAGAUGUUUAUACAACAGAAAAAACUAUACCCAUAGAGCCAUACGACUGCUACGGUGUCCCUUGUGUGACAAAGAUUUGAAAUGUGUACCAUUUUCUUUUGAAACUAUGGAGAAUAAAAAUGGUGAAGACAAUGCAUCUUGGAGUCACUCAAACAAUGAGAUAGAAUAGGAGAAACAUUUGUUUGGGCUAAAGGUGGGAUUAGUAGCUGAAUAUAGGCAAAUUGAAGUGGAAGACAACUCUAAAAUUAUGAUAACAAUCAAUAAAAGAUAUUGUCUAAGCUAAAAGAUGAGAGUAUAUUUUUUAUAAAGUUUUCUUCAUCCUUUCUAAAUUUACCCAUAUUUCCUCUUAUAUAAAAAAAGAACAAAACAUGGCAAACAAUUUUCUAGCAGAUUAUGCGGUCUCUCCCUAGCUUUAUGCCUCUACGAAAGUAAUGAUAUUCAUGAUUAGAGGAAGUUGUAUGAUCUCUUUAUAUUGGAUCACCCUAUUUAUCAUUCUCAUUAAAUGAUGAUAUAAGGGGUAUUGAUUUUCCAUUAAGCUUUGGAGCAUCUAAGUGUUAAUGAUGCCUUUUAUAUGUGAUAUAGUAACCAACAUCCUUUUUCUCA
Molecule: long non-coding RNA, 877 nt
Organism: Cryptomeria japonica (Japanese cedar)
Lineage: Eukaryota; Viridiplantae; Streptophyta; Pinopsida; Cupressales; Cupressaceae
Exons: 3
Source: RefSeq, a predicted model, not a curated record